AAAACAUUAGAUUGNGAAUCUAACAAUAGAAACUCAUUACCUUCUUAUUUACC
Molecule: transfer RNA, 53 nt
Filed under: Bison priscus (steppe bison)
Lineage: Eukaryota; Metazoa; Chordata; Mammalia; Artiodactyla; Bovidae
Description: partial tRNA-His
Source: RNAcentral